UUUAACUGAGCGUUCAGUUACUUGACGUAGACCCGAAACCGGGCGACCUACCCAUGAGCAGGAUGAAGCGAAAGUAAAAUUUCGUGGAGGUCCGAACCCACGAGCGUUGAAAAGCUCGGGGAUGACUUGUGGGUAGCGGUGAAAUUCCAAUCGAGCCCGGAGAUAGCUGGUUCUCCCCGAAAUAGCUUUAGGGCUAGCCUCAAGGUGAGAGAUACGGAGGUAGAGCACUGAAUGUCCUAGGGGGUAUUGCACCUACCGAAGACUAUCAAACUCCGAAUGCCGUCAUCUUAUACUUGGGAGUCAGACUGUGGGUGAUAAGAUUCAUAGUCGAAAGGGCAACAGCCCAGAUCGUCAGCUAAGGUCCCUAAAUGUAAGUUAAGUGGUAAAGGAUGUGGGAUUGCACAGACAACCAGGAUGUUGGCUUAGAAGCAGCCACUCAUUCAAAGAGUGCGUAAUAGCUCACUGGUCGAGUGAUCCUGCGCCGAAGAUUUCCGGGGCUAAAACUUACUACCGAAGCUACGGCAUCAGUAAUGAUGGGUAGGGGAGCUUCCCAUACGGGUUGAAGCAUGACCGUAAGGACAUGUGGACAGUAUGGGAGUGAGAAUGUUGGCAUGAGUAGCGAGAUGUGGGUGAGAAUCCCACAGGCCGUAAACCCAAGGUUUCCAGGGGAAGGUUCGUCCGCCCUGGGUUAGUCGGGACCUAAGCUGAGGCCGAAAGGCGUAGGUGAUGGACAACAGGUUGAUAUUCCUGUACUACCGAUAACCGUUUGAGAGAAGGGAUGACACAGUAGGAUAAGCUAAGCACACUGUUGGUUAUGUGUGCCCAAGCAUUGAGGCAGUCAAAGUAGGCAAAUCCGCUUUGAUAAUGCUGGGAUGUGAUGGGGAGCGAAAUUUAGUAGCGAAGUAGCUGAUUUCACACUGUCAAGAAAAGUCUCUAUCGAGGUUAAAGGUACCCGUACCGCAAACCGACACAGGUGGGUGAGGAGAGUAUCCUAAGGCCAGCGAGAGAACUGUUGUUAAGGAACUCGGCAAAAUGACCCCGUAACUUAGGGAUAAGGGGUGCCACCAUCAGGUGGCCGCAGAG
RNAcentral lists this ribosomal RNA (1083 nucleotides) under Clostridioides difficile. RNAcentral's name for it is "partial 23S ribosomal RNA". It matches the Rfam family "Bacterial large subunit ribosomal RNA", at positions 683 to 1784 of the family's 2925-position model. The record is from RNAcentral. Lineage: Bacteria; Bacillati; Bacillota; Clostridia; Peptostreptococcales; Peptostreptococcaceae.